RNAcentral lists this ribosomal RNA (253 nucleotides) under uncultured bacterium. RNAcentral describes it as "partial small subunit ribosomal RNA". It matches the Rfam family "Bacterial small subunit ribosomal RNA", at positions 26 to 285 of the family's 1533-position model. The record is from RNAcentral.
AGGACGAACGCUGGCGGCGUGCUUAACACAUGCAAGUCGAGCGGAAAGGCCCUUCGGGGUACUCGAGCGGCGAACGGGUGAGUAACACGUGAGUAAUCUGCCCCUAGCUCUGGGGUAGCUCCGGGAAACCGGGAUUAAUACCGGAUAUGACCACUUUAGACAUCUGCUGUGGUGGAAAGAAUUUCGGCUAGGGAUGAGCUCGCGGCCUAUCAGCUUGUUGGUGGGUAACGGCCUACCAAGGCGACGACGGGUA